UGGGGAAUAUUGGACAAUGGAGGAAACUCUGAUCCAGCAAUUCUGUGUGUGUGAAGAAGGUUUUAGGACUGUAAAACACUUUUAGUAGGGAAGAAAAAAAUGACGGUACCUACAGAAGAAGCAACGGCUAAAUACGUGCCAGCAGCCGCGGUAAUACGUAUGUUGCGAGCGUUAUCCGGAAUUAUUGGGCUUAAAGGGCAUCUAGGCGGUAAGACAAGUUGAAGGUGAAAACCUGUGGCUCAACCAUAGGCUUGCCUACAAAACUGUUGAACUAGAGUACUGGAAAGGUGGGUGGAACUACACGAGUAGAGGUGAAAUUCGUAGAUAUGUGUAGGAAUGCCGAUGAUGAAGAUAACUCACUAGACAGAAACUGACGCUGAAGUGCGAAAGCUAGGGGAGCAAACAGG
Molecule: ribosomal RNA, 407 nt
Filed under: Verrucomicrobiota bacterium
Lineage: Bacteria; Pseudomonadati; Verrucomicrobiota
Description: Verrucomicrobia bacterium partial 16S ribosomal RNA
Rfam family: Bacterial small subunit ribosomal RNA
Source: RNAcentral